ACUCCCGAAACUAAGUGAGCUACUUCGAAACAGCUUUUAGAGCGCACCCGUCUCUGUCGCAAAAGAGUGGCACGAUUUCCAAGUAGGGGCAACAAACCUAUCGCACUUAGAGAUAGCUGGUUACUCAAGAAAAGAAUUUUAGUUCAACCUUAAGUUUCUUCACUAAACAAAAAAAUUUACAAAACUUAAGAGCUACUCAAAUAAGGCACAGCUUAUUUGAACCAGGACACAACCUAUAAUAUAGGGUAAUAACUAUCAACAAUUUACAAGUGGGCCUAAAAGCAGCCAUCUUUAAAAAAGCGUUAAAGCUUAAUACUUAUUUAUAUUAAUACCACCAUUAACCACCAACCCUUCACCAAUAUUGAGUAACUCCAUAACCCUAUGGAAGUUAUAAUGCUAGAACUAGUAACAAGAAUUAAACCUUCUCCUUAAUGUAAGCUUAAGCCUCAAUAGAUAAACUACUGGCAAUUAACGCAAAUGACCCAACUAUAUUAACACUACAAGAAAACCGUAUAUUCUAUAACGUCACCCUUACACCAGA
RNAcentral lists this ribosomal RNA (541 nucleotides) under Mantidactylus sp. 48 MV-2009. Its description in RNAcentral is "partial 16S ribosomal RNA". The stretch from base 1 to 400 matches the Rfam family "Bacterial large subunit ribosomal RNA", at positions 711 to 1300 of the family's 2925-position model. Lineage: Eukaryota; Metazoa; Chordata; Amphibia; Anura; Mantellidae. The record is from RNAcentral.